RNAcentral lists this long non-coding RNA (1064 nucleotides) under Callithrix jacchus (white-tufted-ear marmoset). RNAcentral describes it as "lncRNA (ENSCJAG00000071125.1)". Lineage: Eukaryota; Metazoa; Chordata; Mammalia; Primates; Cebidae. The record is from RNAcentral.
UGCUGUUAAGCCGUGAGGAAGCAGGGCAAAUCAUCCCUGUAGUCUUCUCUCUUCUCUUUCCAUUGUUUGCUUUCUUGAAAAGAAGAAAGCAUGGCCAUCUAAGAGUCCUCAGGGCUGCCCUUCUGCCCUUCCCCCACAACUCCUGUGACUGCCUCUUAAAUGGGUACUCAGGGUGAUAAGGAGGCACAGGUGAGGGAGCCAGGCUGGAUCCACACCCACCCACGCCCAUUGUUAGGAAAACAAGCUUUUAAUGCCAGGUUCUGCUGCUGGCCCCUGAGAGUAUAAAAUGGGACCCAGAGCCAGCCUCUCUCUUCCUCUAAGGCACAUCAAGGCAAUAGUGUUUAAAAGGAGAGGAGGCAGUGGCAUGCAGGCUCCAGAGACUGAGCCAUUCCUAUGGCAAAAGGGAGGCAGUGGGGCCCCCUGCUGAGGGCCAUCUGGCAGGUGUUCCAUUCUACCUUCCUCAUGGGACUCACAGCCUCUUCAUCAGUGAUGUCUUCAGCUUCACUGUCCCCAAGCUGCUUAGCUCCUGGGUCCCUCCGCCAUCACUGUCUUCCUGAGCUGCCGCCUCCUGAAUUUCUUCAUCACCAAGAAGAGGAAUGGGACAGACCAGGCAGGAAGCAGGGAGGAAGACACAGGUCCUGGCAUAGGCGAUGAGGAGGGCAGAGCUGUGUGGGAGCCGGUGGGUCUGGCUUUGUUCUUGUCUCUGUGAGUUGCCCAUUGUGCAGACCUGCCUUGCUCCUUCCCCAUCGUAUUCGACGGUGGCUCUUCCCUACAGUGUUCAGACCCCAGGACCUGGGUCGGAUCAAUGCCUUUUUCUCCUGCACCCCAUCAGUCAGCAGAUUUGCUUGGCGUCAUCUUGAAAAUGCAUCCAGCAGCAAGGCCCUGGCUCACUCCUUACUUCUGCCCCAGCCUCUCUCCACUUCCAGCCACAGGAGACCUGUGUGAGCUGAAUCCAUUGCACCCUCCUCUGCUCAGACCCACGGUGGCCCCAUUUUCCUCAGUCUGAGCCAAAGGCCCCACAGUGGCCCACCUGGUCCGCCCUAUGCUGCCUCAUUGCCUCCAGC